UUUAUCCUUGUACGCUUGUAACUCGCCGAGCUGGAUCUUCGUUGCGUUCAUAUUCGUAUGAUGAAUGCACCAUUUUUGUACACUGUACACCCCACACUCAAAAAUAAAUAAACGGCCGGAGCGACACGGGGCGCUGAGGGCGGCACCCCCACAGCGGCAGGCACGCACACACGCGCAACGCAGGGCGCUUGAGAGGGCGCUACCGUCGCUCAGUCUCGCGCCGGCCACCGCUGCGGUUGGAUGUUUGUUACUCUGCGAUGCGAUCGGAAAAAUAAACUAGUUUUGUUCCGGUACGACAUAUCUCCUUCUGUGCGCUGUUAAAUUUUACGUGUUUGUGGACAAUUUGUGAACGUGAUUUUUAUCUAACGUGAACGAUAAACUGUUGGGAUUGAUUGGGAGCCGUUGACUUGUGUUGAAACAAAGGUUUACAUUGUCGGAAGGUGAACGAUCUUCAUUCGACUCGCUACAGAACUGAAGCUUCGCGAGAGACGGCGCGCUGGCCGCGAAACAUGAAUUAGAUAUCGCACCAACGAUAUCGAAACGUAAGUAGCUGAGUAAACCGAACAAAGAUUUGAAGAAAGGGUAUCUGCAAAACGAAACCGUAUGUAAUUUAUUCCAGAACAAUUUUAAUAAGGAAUUCUAACAACAUCUUGCGUCAAUAUUAUACGAGAUUUAAAAAUGAUGAAGUAGCUACAGCGUCAUAUAGUCCCAACGGGGACUUAUUCAAUUAAAAAAGAUACGAAUCGACGGAUUUUUCGGAUCCCAUAACACGAAAAUGUGAGACCCAUAAUAAUGAGGUUGAGUUUUGGUAAAACCUCCCUACGGGUUGUAAAAAGCUACUUUAAAAAAUAAUAUUUCAAUAUAUGCCUGCUGUUACACCUACUGUUGUCUCUCUGCAUCACCCCAAGGUUGACUGGUAGAGAAUGCCAAAUUGGCAUUAAGUCCUCCUUUGUAUAAUGUACAUAAAGUGUAAAAUAAAAAUAAAAUAAAAAUAAAAAACGUACCAAUGAGUCUAUGGAGCCCUCUGAGUAAAAUUCUAAUUUUAUAGAUAGGCUGUAAAGAGUUUAUUUCGCCGUACUCGAAACUCAAAUAAUUAAAAAAAAAACGGUUUAAGGGCCAUUAUUCAUAAAAAUAUUUUAGGUCAAGUGUCCCAAGUUUUAAUUAACCAUCAAUUAAAUUUAAAUUAAAUAGAUUGCUUAAUGUUUAUGAACUUGGUGGAAUUCUUUCAAUAUUGCUUCGAACGGUUUAAGGGUAAAGUUAGGAACCUCAUUUUCGAAGUUGUAAAUACCAAAGCCCGUAUUGAUUUGUGUUGGCAUACUUUUAAAAUUCAAUUUCGGUUCAUCAAAAUGCUUACAACUAUUUAUUGUUUGAAGAAGUGGUUUUUAUUGGCCACAAACUUUGAACACUCAAAACGAUACUGAAUUAUUUAAAACAUUUGCCCAAACAUU
Spodoptera frugiperda (fall armyworm) is the source of this 1448-nucleotide RNA transcript. RefSeq lists it as uncharacterized. The transcript is spliced from 4 exons. The record is from RefSeq and is a predicted model, not a curated record. NCBI's taxonomy places the organism in Eukaryota, Metazoa, Arthropoda, Insecta, Lepidoptera, Noctuidae.